Molecule: unclassified non-coding RNA, 332 nt
Filed under: plant metagenome
Description: partial contains small subunit ribosomal RNA and internal transcribed spacer 1
Rfam family: Eukaryotic small subunit ribosomal RNA (bases 1-47)
Source: RNAcentral
AAUGUCGUAACAAGGUUUCCGUAGGUGAACCUGCGGAAGGAUCAUUACCAAAGGAAGAACAGAAAAUCCACUUCAGGGAGGCGGACCUGACGGACGUCUUGAACCCUGUUGGGACCACCCUAUACCUGCGAAAUCGCCACCGUCCUAGCGGUGGCGGACGAUGAAUCAGGCACGGUGGCCCGUUUACCUUCACAUAACUUCCCUACGUACCACUUCCACGUUGCUUCCCCGGCAACCUCACUCAUUGGUGGACGCGGGGGAAGGUCUCCAACAAAUCGCACCUGCACUCAAUCAGCGGUCAGACGACCGAAUUGACAAAAGUCAUUAAAAAC